This 114-nucleotide ribosomal RNA is filed under the name uncultured bacterium. Its description in RNAcentral is "partial 16S ribosomal RNA". It matches the Rfam family "Bacterial small subunit ribosomal RNA", at positions 1360 to 1482 of the family's 1533-position model. The record is from RNAcentral.
CGGUGAAUACGUUCCCGGGCCUUGUACACACCGCCCGUCAAGUCAUGGAAGCUGGGGGUACCUGAAGUACGUAACCGCAAGGAGCGUCCUAGGGUAAAACUGGUAACUGGGGCU